RNAcentral lists this long non-coding RNA (372 nucleotides) under Ananas comosus (pineapple). RNAcentral's name for it is "long non-coding RNA (ACOM_LNC034875)". The record is from RNAcentral. Lineage: Eukaryota; Viridiplantae; Streptophyta; Magnoliopsida; Poales; Bromeliaceae.
AUCUGCCUCCUUGUACCGGUACACGGGUUCUUGUACCGGUACAAGGCCGACGAAAUUGCAAACCCGAGGCUCGGGUCGCGCGGUCUGCGGCUCUGUACCGGUACAAGCCCGAUGGCUGUACCGGUACAACCAUCAACCCUUGUACCGGUACAAGGCCAGUCUGUUCCGGUACAAGCCCUGCUGCAGGCUACCCGAGAGCUGUCCAAAAAUCCCGAUUUUGGGAUUUUGGUGCCAAGUCUCACUCCAACAUCCUCGGGAUGCGUGCCAGGGGUCGGAACACUAUCAACGACCCUCCAAAAACUGUGGAAAGGCUCCACACACAGAUCAAACACUCGAAUCUUGCAAUUUGCUAAGAUCCAGUGUAUUACAGUG